CGGCUUCGGCCAAAGGAAGCUAAGGUUUAGUGGGCAACGGGUGAGUAACGCGUGAGGAACCUGCCUUCAGUGGGGGACAACAGUUGGAAACGACUGCUAAUACCGCAUAACAUAUUCGGACCGCAUGAUCUGAAUAUCAAAGCUUUAUGUGCUGGAAGAUGGCCUCGCGUCUGAUUAGCUAGUUGUGGGGGUAAACGGCCCACCAAGGCGACGAUCAGUAGCCGGUCUGAGAGGAUGAACGGCCACAUUGGGACUGAGAUACGGCCCAGACUCCUACGGGAGGCAGCAGUGGGGAAUAUUGGGCAAUGGGGGAAACCCUGACCCAGCAACGCCGCGUGAAGGAAGAAGGCUUCGGGUUGUAAACUUCUUUUACCAGGGACGAAGAACGUGACGGUACCUGGAGAAAAAGCAACGGCUAACUACGUG
Molecule: ribosomal RNA, 426 nt
Filed under: uncultured bacterium
Lineage: Bacteria
Description: bacterial SSU rRNA
Rfam family: Bacterial small subunit ribosomal RNA
Source: RNAcentral